Lotus japonicus is the source of this 380-nucleotide long non-coding RNA. RefSeq lists it as uncharacterized. The record is from RefSeq and is a predicted model, not a curated record. The transcript has 4 exons. NCBI's taxonomy places the organism in Eukaryota, Viridiplantae, Streptophyta, Magnoliopsida, Fabales, Fabaceae.
GUAUGCGAUGAAGGAGAGGAGUGUGUCCAUGGUUUGAUUUCGUGGGUAAUCGUCAUCCCUGCAGGCCCUGUCUCUGUAGCGUGAGGAUGUCAUUCUUUCAGGUUCGUGUUCUUUGAUGCCUUGCAAAUGGAAGACAUCACUGUGUCAUAUGAUGAGGGUGGUUCUUUUGAUUCUAUGUGGUUAGUUCAGCAGAGAGAACAAAUGCAGUUGAGUCUUCUUGUGCAGUUUCAAUGUCGUUCUCAGGCGGGUUGUAAAUACAUGAUCCAUGGAGCCUACCAUCUCCAAUGCACCCUGGCUAUCUAUUAGCAACCUCUUACUUUUCACAUUCCAAGAAGAACAUAGUAUGGCCAAGCCAAGAACACUUCAGACUAAUAUGCGUA